This 57-nucleotide transfer RNA is filed under the name Bos taurus (domestic cattle). It matches the Rfam family "tRNA", at positions 8 to 63 of the family's 71-position model. Rfam says of the family: Transfer RNA (tRNA) molecules are approximately 80 nucleotides in length. Their secondary structure includes four short double-helical elements and three loops (D, anti-codon, and T loops). Further hydrogen bonds mediate the characteristic L-shaped molecular structure. tRNAs have two regions of fundamental functional importance: the anti-codon, which is responsible for specific mRNA codon recognition, and the 3' end, to which the tRNAs corresponding amino acid is attached (by aminoacyl-tRNA synthetases). tRNAs cope with the degeneracy of the genetic code in two manners: having more than one tRNA (with a specific anti-codon) for a particular amino acid; and 'wobble' base-pairing, i.e. permitting non-standard base-pairing at the 3rd anti-codon position. Lineage: Eukaryota; Metazoa; Chordata; Mammalia; Artiodactyla; Bovidae. RNAcentral also lists the same sequence under 5 other names. The record is from Rfam by way of RNAcentral.
UGGCUCAGAUGGUAAAGCAUCUGUCUGCAAUGCAGGAGACCCAGGUUCGAUCCCUGG